RNAcentral lists this ribosomal RNA (253 nucleotides) under uncultured bacterium. RNAcentral describes it as "partial 16S ribosomal RNA". It matches the Rfam family "Bacterial small subunit ribosomal RNA", at positions 524 to 776 of the family's 1533-position model. The record is from RNAcentral.
GACAGAGGGGGCGAGCGUUGUCCGGAGUCACUGGGCGUAAAGGGCCGGUAGGUGGCUUUAUAAGUCAGUUGUCAAAUACCCAUGCUUAACGUGGGAGAGGCGACUGAUACUGUAGAGCUUGAGUAGAGGAGGGGAUGACGGAAUACCCGGUGUAGGGGUGAAAUCUGUUGAUAUCGGGUAGAACACCGAUGGCGAAAGCGGUCAUCUAGCCUCAUACUGACACUCAACGGCGAAAGCCAGGGGAGUGAACGGG